Molecule: non-coding RNA, 48 nt
Organism: Schistosoma curassoni
Lineage: Eukaryota; Metazoa; Platyhelminthes; Trematoda; Strigeidida; Schistosomatidae
Source: Rfam
ACCCAGCUGACGAGUCCCAAAUAGGACGAAAAGCACUUUGUCCUGGAU